This 1321-nucleotide ribosomal RNA is filed under the name Staphylococcus agnetis. RNAcentral describes it as "bacterial SSU rRNA". It matches the Rfam family "Bacterial small subunit ribosomal RNA", at positions 209 to 1520 of the family's 1533-position model. The record is from RNAcentral. Lineage: Bacteria; Bacillati; Bacillota; Bacilli; Caryophanales; Staphylococcaceae.
UUGCUGUCACUUAUAGAUGGACCCGCGCCGUAUUAGCUAGUUGGUAAGGUAACGGCUUACCAAGGCGACGAUACGUAGCCGACCUGAGAGGGUGAUCGGCCACACUGGAACUGAGACACGGUCCAGACUCCUACGGGAGGCAGCAGUAGGGAAUCUUCCGCAAUGGGCGAAAGCCUGACGGAGCAACGCCGCGUGAGUGAUGAAGGUCUUCGGAUCGUAAAGCUCUGUUGUUAGGGAAGAACAUAUGUGUAAGUAACUGUGCACAUCUUGACGGUACCUAACCAGAAAGCCACGGCUAACUACGUGCCAGCAGCCGCGGUAAUACGUAGGUGGCAAGCGUUAUCCGGAAUUAUUGGGCGUAAAGCGCGCGUAGGCGGUUUUUUAAGUCUGAUGUGAAAGCCCACGGCUCAACCGUGGAGGGUCAUUGGAAACUGGAAAACUUGAGUGCAGAAGAGGAAAGUGGAAUUCCAUGUGUAGCGGUGAAAUGCGCAGAGAUAUGGAGGAACACCAGUGGCGAAGGCGGCUUUCUGGUCUGUAACUGACGCUGAGGUGCGAAAGCGUGGGGAUCAAACAGGAUUAGAUACCCUGGUAGUCCACGCCGUAAACGAUGAGUGCUAAGUGUUAGGGGGUUUCCGCCCCUUAGUGCUGCAGCUAACGCAUUAAGCACUCCGCCUGGGGAGUACGGUCGCAAGACUGAAACUCAAAGGAAUUGACGGGGACCCGCACAAGCGGUGGAGCAUGUGGUUUAAUUCGAAGCAACGCGAAGAACCUUACCAAAUCUUGACAUCUUUUGACCGCUCUAGAGAUAGAGUUUUCCUCUUCGGAGGACAAAAUGACAGGUGGUGCAUGGUUGUCGUCAGCUCGUGUCGUGAGAUGUUGGGUUAAGUCCCGCAACGAGCGCAACCCUUAAGCUUAGUUGCCAUCAUUAAGUUGGGCACUCUAAGUUGACUGCCGGUGACAAACCGGAGGAAGGUGGGGAUGACGUCAAAUCAUCAUGCCCCUUAUGAUUUGGGCUACACACGUGCUACAAUGGACAAUACAAAGGGCAGCGAAACCGCGAGGUCAAGCAAAUCCCAUAAAGUUGUUCUCAGUUCGGAUUGUAGUCUGCAACUCGACUACAUGAAGCUGGAAUCGCUAGUAAUCGUAGAUCAGCAUGCUACGGUGAAUACGUUCCCGGGUCUUGUACACACCGCCCGUCACACCACGAGAGUUUGUAACACCCGAAGCCGGUGGAGUAACCAUUUUGGAGCUAGCCGUCGAAGGUGGGACAAAUGAUUGGGGUGAAGUCGUAACAAGGUAGCCGUAUCGGAAGGUGCGGCUG